UUAUUUGCGGACUAACCAUGUGCACUGAGUGUUUCAGAUAUUAUGUCAUGGCACGAGAUGGUUUGUAUCCCCUCAGUGGUAAAGAGUGAGGACGAUUUUCUCUGUCGAUUUCAUUUCCUGUGGUUUUGAGUUGCCGGACAACCAUACUAUUAAGAGGGGGCCCACAUUGAAAAGGUAUGGGUGGAAUGAGCACGUACACAUCCUCAUUUGCAACCACAUAUUCCUUUCUUCUUUUAGGAGCUCCCUGAUUGUUUUCUGUGGAGUGUCAGUUGCUUUGAAGAGGUAUUACCCCUAGUGCCCACGGUAGUACCGAUGGGUAACAUCGUGCUAGUGUCGCUUGGGUAUUCCAAAGUGCGCACUUUACGUUGCCAAUUUCAUAGAUCACGAUAGUAGUCCAGUAGUACCACGGUAGUAAAGCGCAAGCAUACUUCCGCUCUAUUACCGCGGCUACUACCGUUUGAGGGUUACCCCUUUUGCUACUUUUUGUUCCCAUUUUAGCUUGAGUGGUGGUAGAGCGACAAUAGAACGGUAGUACCUUUUUGUGCGAUACUGCCGCCCUAGUUCUUUCCACUACUGUUGUCUGGUCUCGUCCAGAGACACACAACGGUAGUACCACUUGGAUGGAUGGUAGUACCGCUCCGGUGGUGCUACCGCUCCUGUACUUCCAGUACUCUCUAACUUGUGCCUAGAAGUACCUCCCCAAGGAGUGGUAGUACCGCUUUAGUGCGGGUAGAGGGCAGAAAAUUGUCGGAUUCCCCCCACUAUAAAUAUAAUGCCUUCCUCCCCAAGAAUACUUACC
This 799-nucleotide long non-coding RNA is filed under the name Hordeum vulgare. RNAcentral describes it as "long non-coding RNA (HVUL_LNC009340)". Lineage: Eukaryota; Viridiplantae; Streptophyta; Magnoliopsida; Poales; Poaceae. The record is from RNAcentral.